RNAcentral lists this ribosomal RNA (253 nucleotides) under uncultured bacterium. Its description in RNAcentral is "partial 16S ribosomal RNA". It matches the Rfam family "Bacterial small subunit ribosomal RNA", at positions 524 to 776 of the family's 1533-position model. The record is from RNAcentral.
UACGUAGGGGGCAAGCGUUGUCCGGAUUUAUUGGGCGUAAAGAGCGUGUAGGCGGUCAGGUAGGUCCGUUGUGAAAACUCGAGGCUCAACCUCGAGACGCCGAUGGAAACCAUCUGACUAGAGUCCGGAAGAGGAGAGUGGAAUUCCUGGUGUAGCGGUGAAAUGCGCAGAUAUCAGGAAGAACACCCGUGGCUAAGGCGGGUCUCUGGGCCGAUAUUGACGCUGAGGAGCGAAAGCGUGGGGAGCGAACAGG